AGGACGAACGCUGGCGGCGUGCUUAACACAUGCAAGUCACGGGGGCCCGCAAGGGCAACCGGCGAACGGGUGCGUAACACGUGAGCAACCUACCGAGAUGUGGGGGAUAGCCGGCCCAACGGCCGGGUAAUACCGCAUACGCUCUUUCCACGGCAUUGUGGAUUGAGGAAACCUCCGGGGCAUUUCGAGGGGCUCGCGGCCUAUCAGCUAGUUGGUGCGGUCACGGCGCACCAAGGCGACGACGGGUAGCUGGUCUGAGAGGAUGGCCAGCCACAUUGGGACUGAGAAACGGCCCAGACUCCGUACGGGAGGCAGCGAGUGGGGAAUCGUUGCGACAAUGGACCGAAAGGCUAGACGCAGCGACGCCGCGUGUGGGAGGAAGCCGUUUCGGGUAGUAAACCGACGUGUUUCGGCCCCGGGAACGAACCGUAGCCGUUCCGUUUCGGU
RNAcentral lists this ribosomal RNA (447 nucleotides) under uncultured soil bacterium. Its description in RNAcentral is "bacterial SSU rRNA". It matches the Rfam family "Bacterial small subunit ribosomal RNA", at positions 26 to 476 of the family's 1533-position model. The record is from RNAcentral.